RNAcentral lists this ribosomal RNA (349 nucleotides) under uncultured bacterium. RNAcentral describes it as "partial 16S ribosomal RNA". It matches the Rfam family "Bacterial small subunit ribosomal RNA", at positions 338 to 679 of the family's 1533-position model. The record is from RNAcentral.
CCUACGAGGGGCUGCAGUGGGGAAUAUUGCGCAAUGGGCGAAAGCCUGACGCAGCGACGCCGCGUGAGGGAUGAAGGUCUUCGGAUCGUAAACCUCGGUCAGCAGGGAAGAACGGUCACGGUGCUAAGCAGCAGUGAAUUGACGGUACCUGCAAAGGAAGCACCGGCUAACUCCGUGCCAGCAGCCGCGGUAAUACGGAGGGUGCGAGCGUUAAUCGGAAUUACGGGGCGUAAAGCGCUCGUAGGCGGUAUGUCCAGUCAAGGGUGAAAUCCCCGCGCUCAACGUGGGAACUGCCUUUGAAACUGGCAACCUGGAGUGUGUGAGAGGCUAGUGGACUUCCAGGUGUAGG